Bos taurus (domestic cattle) is the source of this 579-nucleotide long non-coding RNA. The record is from Ensembl. NCBI's taxonomy places the organism in Eukaryota, Metazoa, Chordata, Mammalia, Artiodactyla, Bovidae.
CCCCUCCCCGCGUCCGUGGCGCGCGCGGCUGCCGGCUCUCUCCCAGGGGCGCCGCGGAGGGUGCGGUCCCGAGCUGGGCGAGGCUUCCUGCGGGCGCCGCGCGCGAGAGACUCCGCUCCUGGGCUCUGCAGUUUCUCCUUGGCCCGCCCAGGAAUAGACACCCACAAAGGGAAGAAAAAGAGAAAACGUUUUCUCUAGGGCCCUUCGCGGGGAAGGCAGCGGCUGCAGCAGUUCUGGAGGAAACUAAAUCCAGUUCAACAACUUACCCAAGGUCACAAAGCAAGGAGAUUGAUUUUGUACUUCUUCGCUGAAUCAGAACUGCUUCUGCUCUUAUGUCUCAGUCGGGCACAGAGAUGCGUUCUAAUAGUUGAUGCUGUGUACACAGUGUAACAAGAAAUUAAGAAUCCAUAGAGACAGAAGGUCACUUGGCAGAGAGCCACUGGGACAGUGACUGCCUCUGCCCUUGGGAUAUUGAUGCGACCUGCUUCUAUGGGAGAAAAGCCAAUCAAAGAGGGAGGGAACAUGUAUAUGACUGAUUCAUGUUGCUGUACAACAGAAACCAACACAACAUUGUAAACC